Molecule: ribosomal RNA, 447 nt
Filed under: uncultured bacterium
Lineage: Bacteria
Description: bacterial SSU rRNA
Rfam family: Bacterial small subunit ribosomal RNA
Source: RNAcentral
GCCAGACUCCUACGGGAGGCAGCAGUGGGGAAUAUUGCACAAUGGGGGAAACCCUGAUGCAGCGACGCCGCGUGAGUGAAGAAGUAUUUCGGUAUGUAAAGCUCUAUCAGCAGGGAAGAAAAUGACGGUACCUGAUUAAGAAGCCCCGGCUAACUACGUGCCAGCAGCCGCGGUAAUACGUAGGGGGCAAGCGUUAUCCGGAUUUACUGGGUGUAAAGGGAGCGUAGACGGUGAUGCAAGUCAGAAGUGAAAGCCCGGGGCUCAACUCCGGGACUGCUUUUGAAACUGUGUAACUGGAGUGCAGGAGAGGUAAGCGGAAUUCCUGGUGUAGCGGUGAAAUGCGUAGAUAUCAGGAGGAACACCAGUGGCGAAGGCGGCUUACUGGACUGUAACUGACGUUGAGGCUCGAAAGCGUGGGGAGCAAACAGGAUUAGAUACCCCCGUACG